AUACGGAGGGUGCAAGCGUUACUCGGAAUCACUGGGCGUAAAGCGCGCGCAGGCGGCUAUUUAAGUUGGAUGUGAAAGCCUAUGGCUCAACCAUAGAACUGCAUCCAAAACGAUUAGACUAGAGUGUGGGAGAGGAAGAUGGAAUUAGUUGUGUAGGGGUAAAAUCCGUAGAGAUAACUAGGAAUACCGAAAGCGAAGGCAAUCUCCUGGAACACUACUGACGCUGAGGCGCGAAAGCGUGGGGAGCAAACAGGAUUAGAAACCCUAGUAGUCC
RNAcentral lists this ribosomal RNA (274 nucleotides) under uncultured bacterium. RNAcentral describes it as "partial 16S ribosomal RNA". It matches the Rfam family "Bacterial small subunit ribosomal RNA", at positions 523 to 796 of the family's 1533-position model. The record is from RNAcentral.